AUGCACAAAAGAGAGAUGAUGGGGGCAUUGGGCAUUACAACAGAAGGCUUGAAAGAGAGAUACCAUGGACUACCAGCUUAUAUUGGGAAGGCGAAAUCUAAAGCUUUCCAGUAUAUAAAGGAAAAAGUGUGGAAUAAGAUACAAGGCUGGAAGGAGAGGUUACUAUCCAAAGCAGGAAAGGAAAUUCUAAUCAAGGCAGCAGCUCAAGCGAUCCCAGUAUACACUAUGGCCUGCUUUGACCUAACAAAAAGUUUGUGUGAUGAACUUAGUUCCAUGAUAACUAAGUUCUGGUGGAGCCAAGUGGACAAAGUAAACAAAAUCCACUGGACUAGCUGGGAGAAGCUCUCAAAACCAAAGAGAGUCGGUGGAUUAGGAUUCAGGGACCUCCAUGCUUUCAAUAUGGCCAUGCUUGCUAAACAAGCAUGGCAACUGCUUCAGAAUCUGUCCUCACUAUGCGCCAAAGUACUACAGGCCAAAUAUCAUCCAGGGAACAGCAUAAUCGAAGCGACUCCAAAAAAGGGAAUAUUGUAUUCAUGGCGUAGUAUUUUGAAAGGCGUGCAACUGCUGAAAAGAGGUAUAAUUUGGAGAGUCGGAAAUGGGCAAAACAUCAAAAUCUGGACGGAUCCCUGGCUCCCAAGAGGAACUACAAGAAGGGUCACCUCAUUUUGUGGGAGACAAGUGAUUUCGAAGGUUGCGGACCUUAUAGACCCACAAAUAAAUAGUUGGGAUGCUAACCUUGUGCACCAAACUUUCAAUGCAGAGGAUUCAAAAAUAAUCCUGUAG
RNAcentral lists this ribosomal RNA (783 nucleotides) under Triticum aestivum (bread wheat). RNAcentral describes it as "partial small subunit ribosomal RNA". Lineage: Eukaryota; Viridiplantae; Streptophyta; Magnoliopsida; Poales; Poaceae. The record is from RNAcentral.